CAAAGAUAAAAAAAAAAAUUCUUACCCUCAAGGAGCUUACCUUUUGUUGGGAGAAACAGGAGGCCAAACUUCCAGAAAAUUGGAGUAUUAUAGUCUCUUUGCUUGAUCAAUGGGAGUCCCUGUCCAAGGAGCAGGAGGAAACAGGUCUACGGACAGAAUCAUGGAUCUGGAAUUAAGAGAACUACAUUUGUUCUGAGUUUCACUAUAAUACUGAUUGACAUCUUGUGACACCGAUCAAGGUAUUUUCAUUGCCUCUGUU
RNAcentral lists this long non-coding RNA (259 nucleotides) under Monodelphis domestica (gray short-tailed opossum). RNAcentral's name for it is "lncRNA (ENSMODG00000043473.1)". The record is from RNAcentral. Lineage: Eukaryota; Metazoa; Chordata; Mammalia; Didelphimorphia; Didelphidae.